GACGAACGCUGGCGGCGUGCUUAACACAUGCAAGUCGAACGAUGAAGAAGAGCUUGCUCUUCGGACUAGUGGCGAACGGGUGAGUAACACGUGACUAACCUGCCCCUUUCUCUGGGAUAACGCUCCGAAAGGAGUGCUAAUACCGGAUACUCACAUCGAGGCACAUGCCUUGAUGUGGAAAGUUUUUCGGAAAGGGAUGGAGUCGCGGCCUAUCAGCUUGUGGGUGAGGUAACGGCUCACCAAGGCGACGACGGGUAGCCGGCCUGAGAGGGGGACCGGCCACACUGGGACUGAGAAACGGACCAGACUCCUACGGGAGGCAGCAGUGGGGAAUAUUGAACAAUGGGCGAAAGCCUGAUGCAGCGACACCGCGUGAGGGAUGAAGGUCUUCGGAUUGUAAGCCUCUUUCAGUAGGGACGAAGCGAAAGUGACGGUACCUAAAGAAGAAGCACCGGCUAACUACGUGCCAGCCGCCGCGGUAA
Molecule: ribosomal RNA, 482 nt
Filed under: uncultured bacterium
Lineage: Bacteria
Description: partial 16S ribosomal RNA
Rfam family: Bacterial small subunit ribosomal RNA
Source: RNAcentral